This 482-nucleotide ribosomal RNA is filed under the name uncultured bacterium. RNAcentral describes it as "partial 16S ribosomal RNA". It matches the Rfam family "Bacterial small subunit ribosomal RNA", at positions 30 to 507 of the family's 1533-position model. The record is from RNAcentral.
AUUGAACGCUGGCGGCAUGCUUUACACAUGCAAGUCGAACGGUAACAGGCCGCAAGGUUCUGACGAGUGGCGAACGGUUGCGUAAUGCAGCGGAACGUGCCCAGACGUAGGUUAUAACUAGUCGAAAGAGUAGCAAAUACCGCAUACUAUCUCUUAAGGAAUACGGGUGACCGUAAGGCCUCUCGCGAUUUUACCGGCCGAUGUCAGAUUAGGUAGUUGGUGGGGUAAAGGCUCACCAAGCCAACGAUCUGUAGCUGGUCUGAGAGGACGAGCAGCCACACUGGGACUGAGACACGGCCCAGACUCCUACGGGAGGCAGCAGUGGGGAAUUUUGGACAAUGGGCGCAAGCCUGAUCCAGCAAUGCCGCGUGCAGGAAGAAGGCCUUCGGGUUGUAAACUGCUUUUGUACGGAAAGAAACGGAUCUGGUUAAUACCCGGGGCUAAUGACGGUACCGUAAGAAUAAGCACCGGCUAACUACGUG